This 478-nucleotide ribosomal RNA is filed under the name uncultured bacterium. RNAcentral describes it as "partial 16S ribosomal RNA". It matches the Rfam family "Bacterial small subunit ribosomal RNA", at positions 28 to 507 of the family's 1533-position model. The record is from RNAcentral.
GAUGAACGCUGGCGGCGUGCUUAACACAUGCAAGUCGAACGAGAAAUGUAGACGGAAACCUUCGGGCGGAAGCCUUCAUUUCGAGUGGCGGACGGGUGAGUAACGCGUGGGUAACCUGCCUCAUACAGGGGGAUAACAGUUGGAAACGACUGUUAAUACCGCAUAAGACCACAGCAUCGCAUGAUGCGGGGGUAAAAACUCCGGUGGUAUGAGAUGGACCCGCGUUCGAUUAGCCAGUUGGCGGGGUAACGGCCCACCAAAGCGACGAUCGAUAGCCGAUCUGAGAGGAUGACCGGCCACAGUGGGACUGAGACACGGCCCACACUCCUACGGGAGGCAGCAGUGGGGAAUAUUGCACAAUGGGGGAAACCCUGAUGCAGCGACGCCGCGUGAGUGAAGAAGUACUUCGGGAUGUAAAGCUCUAUCAGCAGGGAAGAAAAUGACGGUACCUGAGGAAGAAGCCCCGGCUAACUACGUG